CCCGCUCAGGGCGGGGGUUGGGAUCCCCAGUUAACCGGAGGGUUGGCUGGGGCCUCCAGUCAAAGUACGGUGCAACGGCACAGGCCGGCAACGGAGCACGCUUAGCCGUCGCCUUCGCCGGUGACGGGACCGCUUGGCU
Molecule: signal recognition particle RNA, 139 nt
Filed under: uncultured Stichococcus
Lineage: Eukaryota; Viridiplantae; Chlorophyta; Trebouxiophyceae; Microthamniales
Description: partial Protozoan signal recognition particle RNA
Rfam family: Protozoan signal recognition particle RNA
Source: RNAcentral